Molecule: ribosomal RNA, 453 nt
Filed under: Solomys ponceleti (Ponceleti's Solomys)
Lineage: Eukaryota; Metazoa; Chordata; Mammalia; Rodentia; Muridae
Description: partial 16S ribosomal RNA
Rfam family: Bacterial large subunit ribosomal RNA
Source: RNAcentral
CGGCCGCGGUAUCCUGACCGUGCAAAGGUAGCAUAAUCACUUGUUCCUUAAUUAGGGACUAGCAUGAACGGCCAAACGAGGAUUCAACUGUCUCUUAUUUUCAANUCAGUGAAAUUGACCUUUCAGUGAAGAGGCUGAAAUACUAAAAUAAGACGAGAAGACCCUAUGGAGCUUAAAUUAAAAGUUUAAUUUUACAUCCACCAACCUAAUGGUACAACACAAAAAACUUAAACCCUAAAUUUCGGUUGGGGCGACCUCGGAGAACAAAAAAUCCUCCGAAUGAUUUUAACAUAGACCAACAAGUCAAAGUAACUUAAAAAUCUUAUUGACCCAAAAAUUUUUUGAUCAACGGACCAAGUUACCCUAGGGAUAACAGCGCAAUCCUAUUUUAGAGUCCAUAUCGACAAUAGGGUUUACGACCUCGAUGUUGGAUCAGGACAUCCCAAUGGCGCA